This 497-nucleotide ribosomal RNA is filed under the name uncultured bacterium. RNAcentral describes it as "partial 16S ribosomal RNA". It matches the Rfam family "Bacterial small subunit ribosomal RNA", at positions 28 to 507 of the family's 1533-position model. The record is from RNAcentral.
GAUGAACGCUGGCUGUGUGCCUAAUACAUGCAAGUCGAGCGAACGGACGGGAAGCUUGCUUUGCUGAUGUUAGCGGCGGAAGCGUGAGUAACAUGUUCAUAACCUACCGAUAAGACGGGGAUAACUUCGGGAAACCGGAGCUAGUACCGGGUAAUAUUUUGAACCGAAUGGUUCAAACGUGAAAGACGGUCUUGCUGUCACGUGUAGAUUGAUCCGCGCUGCAGUAGCUAGUUGGUAAGGUAGAUGCUUACCAAGGCAACGAUGCAUACCCGACAUGAGAGGGUGCUUGGCCACACUGUAACUGAGACACGCUCCAGACUCCUACGGGAGGCAGCAGUAGGGAAUCUGCCGCAAUGGGCGAAAGACUGACGGAGCAACGCCGCGUGAGUGACGAAGGUCUUCGGAUCGUAAAACUCUGUUAUUAGGGAAGAAAAUAUGUGUACGUAACUGUGCACAUCUUGACGGUACCUAAUCAGAAAGCCACGGCUAACUACGUG